AUUUUUUUUCCCUUGGUAAGAACUGGCAUUUCAAAAGAGAAAAGAACCAUGAUCAGUGCUCACAGAUAUUUAAUUUACACUUCAAAGGGUCACCUAUUUGUAUGGCAUUUCGUACGUACAAGAAGGUGAUGGACCUUUCUAAAAACAAUUCCUUGAUGGGUUUCCAGCUGAGGACCAUUGGCACCAGCACUAUUGAGUUCAAU
This 203-nucleotide unclassified non-coding RNA is filed under the name Hevea brasiliensis (rubber tree). The record is from RNAcentral. Lineage: Eukaryota; Viridiplantae; Streptophyta; Magnoliopsida; Malpighiales; Euphorbiaceae.